Molecule: ribosomal RNA, 540 nt
Filed under: Gibbularctus gibberosus
Lineage: Eukaryota; Metazoa; Arthropoda; Malacostraca; Decapoda; Scyllaridae
Description: partial 16S ribosomal RNA
Rfam family: Bacterial large subunit ribosomal RNA
Source: RNAcentral
GUCUUUGUGGUUAUUUAUAUGAAGUCUAGCCUGCCCAAUGAUGUAGAAUUGAAUGGCCGCGGUAUCCUGACCGUGCAAAGGUAGCAUAAUAGUUAGUCUUUUAAUUGGAGACUGGAAUGAAGGGUUGAAUGAAAGGUCAGCUGUCUCUAUAUUAAAUCUUGAAUUUGACUUUUAAGUGAAAAGGCUUAAAUAAAUUAAGGGGACGAUAAGACCCUAUAAAUCUUCAUAUUCAGUCUUAUAAAAUAAAAAAGUGAAAUUAUUCUUAUUUAAUAAGAGUGAAUAUUUUGUUGGGGCGACAAAAAUAUAAACGUAACUGUUUUAUAAGUUUAGUUAAAUAUAUUUAAUUAAGUGAUCCUUUAAUAAAGAUAUUAGUUUAAGUUACUUUAGGGAUAACAGCGUAAUUUUUUUUGAGAGUUCAUAUCGAAAAAAGAGUUUGCGACCUCGAUGUUGAAUUAAAGGUCCUUUGCGGCGCAGAAGUUGUAAAAGGAGGUCUGUUCGACCUUUAAAUCUUUACAUGAUUUGAGUUCAGACCGGCGUAAG